Long non-coding RNA from Atta colombica, 1558 nucleotides. RefSeq lists it as uncharacterized. The record is from RefSeq and is a predicted model, not a curated record. Lineage: Eukaryota; Metazoa; Arthropoda; Insecta; Hymenoptera; Formicidae. The transcript has 3 exons.
AUUUUUGUGUAAAAUAUUAUUUAUGUAUUUAAUUAUUAAUUAAAGACAUUUUAAAAUUAAUAACGCGUAUAUAGUCAGAGCCGGAUUGUGUAAGUUAAUUAUUUAUGAUUAAAUAACUAGAAAACCUGAAAAUGCUCAAAUAAUUUUCUGAGACGAAACGUCGACGAAUUUUACUUUAUUACAAUUCAGAUCGAAAUAGCCUUUCAGCCGAUUUUACUUUCAAAUGUUGACGAUAACUCAAUCGACGGUCCAUCAUAUUCAUCAGCCUUCGAAUUUGAAGAGUCUGAAAUUAAAGAUAGAGAUCAAUUAUUCGCAAUAUUCAGCUUUAUUAGAUAAUUCGCAAUAUUCACAUUUAGAAAUUGAUAUUAGUUACAAGUAGUUCAUCAUCAGAGACAAGCAGUGACGAAUUUCAAAUCAACCCGCAAGAAAAUGUACAUUUGCCUUUGAAUUGUGCAAUUGGGUAAAUGAAUUUCAAAUUAAUCAAUGCAUUAACCUCUUUAUUACAAGUUCUUUCAAGACACGGGUAUGAUGAUUUACCUCGAGAUGCGCGAAUACUUUUGAACACUCCAAGAUCAGGUACUCAUGAUAUUAAAACCCUUUCCAAAGACGAAUGCAGAGACUACAUCCGUAAGGAACUGAAAAGAUUGUCUAGACACUGUGUGCUAUUGAAGUUCUACUAAAAGAAGGGAAAGCAGGAUGAAGUGAGUCAAUGAAGCUGUAGCACAAGGUCUGUUAUCUCCAUUAUCUCUAAUGACACUGAAACAGUUCUUGCAGUGCGAAAAUCAGUUGGAAGUGAAUAUCAACAUGAGAAAACAAUUUGUACAUAUGAUAUGUCGAAUCGGAGGUUCGACGGAUAAGCAGUUUAUUAGAAAUACUUUAUCACAAAUUAUUUCUAAUGAAGCCACUCAAAUAUCAUGGACAAGUUAGAAGAGUAGUGUAAGCUUUAAAUCCACAUCCAUAUCCAAACUAAUAAUCGGUAACAUUUAUUCCAAUAUAUCUACUUUCCCAUAAUAACAAGGUUUAAAACAUUUUUGUGAGAUUGGAAACAUAGCCUUUUGCAUGUAAUCUUCGUGGCGUCCAUGAAAUUUAUCAUAAAUGUUAAAAUAUCGAUGAGCUAAACAUAAUACUACAUAUCAAAGUAUAAAAGCUCCUACAGCUUACAGAUAAUUUUAACAAGUGUGAAUUACAUAAAUGCGAAAAUUAUAUUCAAAAUUAGAUAAUAAGAUGUCUACUGUUUCUGAUAUCAGAUAAAUGUCCAACUAAUACAUUCUAGCCAUUUUAAUAUCUCGUCGGUACUAACAGAUAAUUUUGGAACGUAUAGUUUGGUUGCCUAUACUAUAAUAUGCAGAGUAUAAAAAUAACAUCUGCUAUUUUUAGUCUCUCUUGCUCCUUUUUCCAAUCCCUUGCUCUUUCUCCAUUCCGCCGUUGAGUUGAGAAGAUUGAAGAGAGAAGAGAGAAGAUUGAAGGUUGAAGAGAGAACAAAGAGUGGGGAAAAGGAAUAAAAAUGGCGGAUGCGAAUACUUAUAGUGCUCUAUCCAUACUUUUACACUUGUUUGAA